GAUGAACGCUGGCGGCGUGCCUAAUACAUGCCAGUCGAGCGAACAGACGAGGAGCUUGCUCCUCUGACGUUAGCGGCGGACGGGUGAGUAACACGUGGAUAACCUACCUAUAAGACUGGGAUAACUUCGGGAACCCGGAGCUAAUACCGGAUAAUAUAUUGAACCGCAUGGUUCAAUAGUGAAAGACGGUUUUGCUGUCACUUAUAGAUGGAUCCGCGCCGCAUUAGCUAGUUGGUAAGGUAACGGCUUACCAAGGCGACGAUGCGUAGCCGACCUGAGAGGGUGAUCGGCCACACUGGAACUGAGACACGGUCCAGACUCCUACGGGAGGCAGCAGUAGGGAAUCUUCCGCAAUGGGCGAAAGCCUGACGGAGCAACGCCGCGUGAGUGAUGAAGGUCUUCGGAUCGUAAAACUCUGUUAUUAGGGAAGAACAAAUGUGUAAGUAACUAUGCACGUCUUGACGGUACCUAAUCAGAAAGCCACGGCUAACUACGUG
Molecule: ribosomal RNA, 497 nt
Filed under: uncultured bacterium
Lineage: Bacteria
Description: partial 16S ribosomal RNA
Rfam family: Bacterial small subunit ribosomal RNA
Source: RNAcentral